GGGAUUGCAGUGGCAAAGCUAGGCUAGGUCUUGGAGGCUGGUGUAAGGCGAUGUGGGUGAAGGCAGGAGGCUGAUGGAAAGACUGGGGGGAAGAAAAGCCGAAAUGGAUUCACGGUGCCUUGGAUGAAGGACGAGAGGGGAACUGCAAGCUCCUUCAACUGGUUCUGUCCGGUGAGAAGUGAUCAAGCUUGGGCUGACAAGAGGCUCAGGGAGCCCUCACGUUCUUUCGCUUUUUUACCUGCCAAUCAAACUGCUACAAGACAACACCCUGAUCUGGCAUGGACAUCGCGGGUCCAAGCCUGUAGCCCCAAAUCGGAUAAUCUCUGCAGCUGAUAACAAGCAAAAGAGAAGCCAGGCAACAGCCAUAUUAAAGAAGAAAACAAUCAACUCUGAGGAUGGCUGCCAGGGAAUAGAUGAAAGGCAGAAGUGGCGAUGGGUGACUGAUGUGGCACACUUAUGAAGAAAAGCCUCUUUUUCCAUGCUUGUUUUUCCUCCCCAAGGAGCCAACAGAGUUUCUAUUCUCCAACUCUGCUCUUCACCUUACCCAAGUCAUUGCAGUCACCUGGAGUCACGGAAAUGACCAUGAUUGCCUGAACUUUCAUGACUUCUGUGGAUAACUGUGGUUGCAGAAAAGAGAAAACCUGGACCGUGAGGGACAUUUCACUCCCUGGGCUUUGGUACAUGAGUCUUGCUGUGAUGCCCAGGCUGCUGGAGUGCAAUGGUGUGAUCUCUGCUCACUGCAACCUUUGAUUCCUGGGUUCAAGAGAUUCUCCUGCCUCAGCCUCCGAGUAGCUGGGACUACAGGCAUGUGUCACCACACCCGGCUAAUUUUUGUAUUUUUAGCAGAGACAGGGUUUCACCAUAUUGGCCAGACUGGUCCUGAACUCCUGACCUCAAGUGAUCUGCCUGCCUCGGGCUCCCAAAGUGCUGGGAUCACAGGCGUGAGCCACCGCACCUGGCUUCUUACUCCUUUUAACAACUUGAUGAGUCUCAAUACCUUCACAGAGGUGAAGAAGCAGCAACCAAAUGAAUUAGACAGCAACAUGAUUCCUAGAGAAUGGCAAGACCAAUUCUUCAACUACUUCUUCAGCAUUUCUGAAACAUAUGGAAGAUGGCCCAUUGUGCUCUCUUAAUUCUUUGAUAAUCUGGACAUUGACUUUUCCAUUAUAUGACCUGGGCUUGUGGGCAUCAUGUCAUAAUGCACCUGUUCAGACAUCUCCCUGUACCAAUAUGGAUCACUUGAAGAGACUCCUUUGCCCCCAUCAAAAAGGAUACAGUUGUGUAUCUCUUCCAUUUUUGUUUACAGUGCCUAAAAUUAUUUGAGCAGUUUUUCACCUCUUCUCUGAUAAACACCUUAUUAGUCCUUAAAAAGAAAAGAAAAAAGGAAAAUAAAACUUUUAUUGAGAUCCUAA
RNAcentral lists this long non-coding RNA (1412 nucleotides) under Homo sapiens (human). RNAcentral's name for it is "SOX2 overlapping transcript". The stretch from base 11 to 286 matches the Rfam family "SOX2 overlapping transcript exon 3". The record is from RNAcentral. Lineage: Eukaryota; Metazoa; Chordata; Mammalia; Primates; Hominidae.